CAAUAGCGUAUAUUAAAGUUGUUGCGGUUAAAAGCUCGUAGUUGGAUUUCUUCUCUUAUCAGCCGGUCCUCACUUCGUGAGAGUAUCUGGUCAGAUUUGAGAAUCCUCUUGAGGAACGUCGCUGCGCUUGAUUGCGUGGCACGGUAUUCAAGACUUUUACUUUGAGGAAAUUGGAGUGUUCACGGCAGGCAUUCGCCUUGUACACAUUAGCAUGGAAUAAUAAUAUAGGAUCACGACCCUAUUUUGUUGGUUUCUAGAGUUGUGAUAAUGAUUAAUAGGGACAAUUGGGGGCGAUUUGUAUUAACAACGGUCAGAGGUGGAAUUCUUUGGAUUGUGUUACGUACAAACUACUAGCGAAGACAUUUGUCCAACGGAUGUUUUCUAUUGAUCAAGAACGAAAGUAAGGGG
This 408-nucleotide ribosomal RNA is filed under the name uncultured eukaryote. Its description in RNAcentral is "SSU rRNA". It matches the Rfam family "Eukaryotic small subunit ribosomal RNA", at positions 592 to 996 of the family's 1831-position model. The record is from RNAcentral.